GCUUAACUUAGGAAUUGCAUUCGAUACUGGGAAGCUAGAGUAUGGGAGAGGAUGGUAGAAUUCCAGGUGUAGCGGUGAAAUGCGUAGAGAUCUGGAGGAAUACCGAUGGCGAAGGCAGCCAUCUGGCCUAAUACUGACGCUGAGGUACGAAAGCAUGGGGAGCAAACAGGAUUAGAUACCCUGGUAGUCCAUGCCGUAAACGAUGUCUACUAGCCGUUGGGGCCUUUGAGGCUUUAGUGGCGCAGCUAACGCGAUAAGUAGACCGCCUGGGGAGUACGGUCGCAAGACUAAAACUCAAAUGAAUUGACGGGGGCCCGCACAAGCGGUGGAGCAUGUGGUUUAAUUCGAUGCAACGCGAAGAACCUUACCUGGUCUUGACAUAGUAAGAACUUUCCAGAGAUGGAUUGGUGCCUUCGGGAACUUACAUACAGGUGCUGCAUGGCUGUCGUCAGCUCGUGUCGUGAGAUGUUGGGUUAAGUCCCGCAACGAGCGCAACCCUUUUCCUUAUUUGCCAGCGGGUUAAGCCGGGAACUUUAAGGAUACUGCCAGUGACAAACUGGAGGAAGGCGGGGACGACGUCAAGUCAUCAUGGCCCUUACGACCAGGGCUACACACGUGCUACAAUGGUCGGUACAAAG
Molecule: ribosomal RNA, 638 nt
Filed under: uncultured bacterium
Lineage: Bacteria
Description: bacterial SSU rRNA
Rfam family: Bacterial small subunit ribosomal RNA
Source: RNAcentral